This is a long non-coding RNA of Cydia strobilella, 360 nucleotides long. RefSeq lists it as uncharacterized. The record is from RefSeq and is a predicted model, not a curated record. NCBI's taxonomy places the organism in Eukaryota, Metazoa, Arthropoda, Insecta, Lepidoptera, Tortricidae. The transcript has 2 exons.
UUUAAUGUAAAACGUUGUACGAUACACGUGCGAAUAGGUAAUUCGCAACUCGUGUCGAUUUAAAAUACUCCCUGCGGUCGUGUUUUAAUUUAUCGCCACUCGUUUCGAAUUUCCUCUUUUCUGCACUUGUAUCGUAAAUAACUACUAGGUUUCUAAUAUAAUAUCUUACUAAACUGAAUAGUUUGUGCGAGAGACACUUCCAAAGUGGUAAAAUGUGUCGGCCCCCUGUAACUUCUAAAAUAAGAGAAUGACAAAACUAAAAAAAAUAUAUGAUGUACAUUACCAUGCAAACUUCGACCAAAAAUUGGUUUGAACGAGAUCUAGUAAGUAGUUUUUUUUUAAUACGUCGCAAAUCGUAAA